GCGCCCGUAGCUCAAUUGGUAGAGCAGGUCCCUUUUAAGGACAAGGUUCCGCGUUCGAUUCGCGGCGGGCGCACCA
RNAcentral lists this transfer RNA (76 nucleotides) under bacterium. Its description in RNAcentral is "tRNA-Lys". It matches the Rfam family "tRNA". From Rfam's summary of the family: Transfer RNA (tRNA) molecules are approximately 80 nucleotides in length. The record is from RNAcentral.